GGGGCCUCGGCGCAGAGCUGCGGGGAGGCGCCCGACAGCCCGCGAGGUGCGCGGCUCUCUUUACUCGGCGUUUCCACGCUGCCCUGCGCGUGGGGCGCGACGCCUUCCGGGUUGAUGGGGACAUACGUGCAGGGGCGGCCCUGAAGACAACCUCUCUGCUGUGGGGAGGGAUUCCUGUCACCACUCCGUUCCCCCAACCACCGUAAAUCCGCACCCAGUCGGACCAGGUUCAGACCUAGGACCCUUGAGCGACAAACUGCCCUGCAGCCCGCGAGCCCAGGUACGGAGCUCCGAAGAGGAGUCCCCCGGACCUCCCUCUGCAAGUGUUACUGCUCUGAGGGUCGUUGCAGGACAGAAAUUGCAUCCUCAGAAUCAAACCCCGUUCAUAGACUCACAGUCAGACACACUUGUAGCACCCGCCGAGAUGCACCGCAAACGGACAGACACCUGUCUCCUCCACAUGGACAAAGCUGAAAGGGGAAGGUCUUCUUGGCCCCAGGAGACUCAUCCGACUUGUACUGGGAGAAAGUGGUCCUUGGGGGACAACAGGGAAGCAGCUGCUGCCCAGGUGUGUGAUCACAUUUGGGCACCCUGGAGGGAGCAGGUGGAGGCCAGGUGUGAGAUGUCCCCAGUUGCCUGAUGAUAAUCCUGAGGCCCACACGUAUGAGUCUGCGUGGAGCCCAUGUUCACAGACUUUUUCUAGAGAAACAGUCCUAGAGAAGGAAAGAGCCGGCCAGCAGGUGAGAAUUCUGGGGUGCACUGCAGAGCUGCAGGUCAGGCCUACCUUUUCCACAGGAGCAGUGCUGGGGAGAGCCUUACACCCAGUGGCCAUCACCAUGGGGUGGGUGGGAUGAGGAAGGCCUCUGCAGAUGCUCAAAGACAAGAGGAUUCAAUAAGGGUGAUAGCUCUGGAGACAGCACAAGAUGACAGAAGGGAAAAAGGGGUUCUAAUCCUGAUUUGCUGUGUGACCUCAAGCCAUAAUAAUAUUAAUAACAACAGCCAACUCAGGUUGAGCGCUCAGUGUACCAGGCAUCCUAAACCCUCCCCCAGGUAACCCCAUUCAAUCCUCAGAACAGUACUCUGAGAUAGACACUAGUAUUGCCCCAUUUUCAGGUGAGGAAAUCAAGGACUAGAAAGGUAAAACUUGGCCACCAUCACAAGGAGAGUAGGGUGGAACCAGGACCCAAAUCCAUGACUUUCUGACCCCCAAGCCUCAUGCCUUAAGCACCUGCCACCUGGCCUCAAUUUGGCAAAUAGCUUAGCCUCUCCAAGCCUCGGCGUCCUCCCCUGAAUAGGCAGUACCAGGCUCAUGGUACAGAUUCAGUAACUAUUGUGCAAUGAAUGAAUGAAUGCCCUACCCCUCAGGGUAACUGUGAGGACUGCAGCCUGUGGAGUUCCUGCAUGCAGCAGGCAUUUCCAUGCCUUCAACAGCUCGUCUAAGGAACCUCUGUGGAGCCCCAGGCCCAAAGAAGCAAAAGUUCCCUACUCCACCCAUAUAGACACCUAAGUAUUUCCGGCUGAGACCUCCUCCCUCAUUGGUCCUUUCUUGCUUUCCUUUCAGAGCCACCAACAUGCCUUGACCUGGACAGCUACCAGAUUGAUUGAGUACACGUGGGAGACACCAGACUUUGUUCGCUGUUGGCUGCUUCACAGCUAUGGAUCCUCCAGAUACAGAGGGCUGACCAGAUACUAAGACCACCAAACUGCAUGCUUUAAAUGGUGAAAUUUAUGCUCAGGCCAGAUGCCUCACCCACAGCAGACAGAACAACCUCAAAGCAAGUUACCCCAAGAAAGCAAGCGACCCGCCCACCACGAUAGGAAUCAGCCCUGGAUGGGACAGAUCAACCCCUCGCCGAGCUUCUAAACUCAAGUGACCCAGCACACUGGCAAACGUCUGAGUGUCCACUCUGGACUGGGCCUUGACUCAACCAGGAAAAGACUGAACUGGAACCAUCAACUCUGUCACUAAGAAGUGACCCCAUCCUUUGGUGCUUUGCAACUCUAUGGUCAUACAGGGAAAAGCGACUGAUUGCUUAAAAUUGAAGUAUAGUUGAUUUACAACGUUUCAGGUACACAGCAAAGUGACUCAGUUAUACAUACACAUACAUAUAUUUUCAGAUUCUUUCCCAUUAUAGGUUAUCAUAAGAUAUAAAAUAUAG
Vicugna pacos (alpaca) is the source of this 2159-nucleotide long non-coding RNA. RefSeq lists it as uncharacterized. NCBI's taxonomy places the organism in Eukaryota, Metazoa, Chordata, Mammalia, Artiodactyla, Camelidae. The record is from RefSeq and is a predicted model, not a curated record.